This 348-nucleotide unclassified non-coding RNA is filed under the name soil metagenome. Its description in RNAcentral is "partial contains 5.8S ribosomal RNA, internal transcribed spacer 2, and large subunit ribosomal RNA". The stretch from base 1 to 120 matches the Rfam family "5.8S ribosomal RNA", at positions 35 to 154 of the family's 154-position model. The record is from RNAcentral.
GAUGAAGAACGUAGCGAAAUGCGAUAAGUAAUGUGAAUUGCAGAAUUCAGUGAAUCAUCGAAUCUUUGAACGCACAUUGCGCCCGCCAGUAUUCUGGCGGGCAUGCCUGUCUGAGCGUCAUUUCAACCCUCAUGCCCCUAGGGCGUGGUGUUGGGGAUAGGCCAAAGCCCGCAAGGGACGGCCGGCCCCUAAAUCUAGUGGCGGACCCGUCGUGGCCUCCCCUGCGAAGUAGUGAUAUUCCGCAUAGGAGAAGCGACGAGCCCCUGCCGUUAAACCCCCAACUUUCUCAGGUUGACCUCAGAUCAGGUAGGAAUACCCGCUGAACUUAAGCAUAUCAUAAGCGGAGGA